AUGGACCACGCGUCCACUGCGGUUGUGAGCGCGCCGUCCGCGCCCACCNUCGCUACGUGUUGUUAGCC
Molecule: small RNA, 68 nt
Filed under: Xanthomonas oryzae pv. oryzae
Lineage: Bacteria; Pseudomonadati; Pseudomonadota; Gammaproteobacteria; Lysobacterales; Lysobacteraceae
Description: sX9
Rfam family: Xanthomonas sRNA sX9
Source: RNAcentral